This 286-nucleotide ribosomal RNA is filed under the name Parapercis sexfasciata (grubfish). RNAcentral describes it as "partial 16S ribosomal RNA". The record is from RNAcentral. Lineage: Eukaryota; Metazoa; Chordata; Actinopteri; Uranoscopiformes; Pinguipedidae.
GCCCCCCUCCCAACCCCUUAAAGGGAUACUAGAGCUUGAAAGACCACUAUCCUAAUGUCUUCGGNUGGGGCGACCGAGGGGGAACACUUAACCCCCAUGCAGAAGUGAAGGCCUCCUUCCAAAAACAAGAGCUACCGCUCUAAUUCUCANAACCUCUGACUUAUAAUGAUCCGGCAAUGCCGAUCAACGGACCAAGUUACCCUAGGGACAACAGCGCAAUCCUCUUUAAGAGACCCUAUCGCCAAGAGGGUUUACGACCUCGAUGUUGGAUCAGGACAUCCUAAUG